Molecule: ribosomal RNA, 731 nt
Filed under: uncultured bacterium
Lineage: Bacteria
Description: bacterial SSU rRNA
Rfam family: Bacterial small subunit ribosomal RNA
Source: RNAcentral
AACAGGAUUAGAUACCCUGGUAGUCCACGCCGUAAACGUUGUCGACUUGGAGGUUGUGCCCUUGAGGCGUGGCUUCCGGAGCUAACGCGUUAAGUCGACCGCCUGGGGAGUACGGCCGCAAGGUUAAAACUCAAAUGAAUUGACGGGGGCCCGCACAAGCGGUGGAGCAUGUGGUUUAAUUCGAUGCGACGCGAAGAACCUUACCUACUCUUGACAUCCAGAGAACUUAGCAGAGAUGCUUUGGUGCCUUCGGGAACUCUGAGACAGGUGCUGCAUGGCUGUCGUCAGCUCGUGUUGUGAAAUGUUGGGUUAAGUCCCGCAACGAGCGCAACCCUUAUCCUUUGUUGCCAGCGGUUAGGCCGGGAACUCAAAGGAGACUGCCAGUGAUAAACUGGAGGAAGGUGGGGAUGACGUCAAGUCAUCAUGGCCCUUACGAGUAGGGCUACACACGUGCUACAAUGGCGCAUACAAAGAGAAGCGACCUCGCGAGAGCAAGCGGACCUCAUAAAGUGCGUCGUAGUCCGGAUUGGAGUCUGCAACUCGACUCCAUGAAGUCGGAAUCGCUAGUAAUCGUGGAUCAGAAUGCCACGGUGAAUACGUUCCCGGGCCUUGUACACACCGCCCGUCACACCAUGGGAGUGGGUUGCAAAAGAAGUAGGUAGCUUAACCUUCGGGAGGGCGCUUACCACUUUGUGAUUCAUGACUGGGGUGAAGUCGUAACAAGGUAACCA